GGGCCCGCACAAGCGGCGGAGCAUGUUGCUUAAUUCGAGGCAACGCGAAGAACCUUACCUGGGUUUGACAUGUACCGAAAAGCCAUAGAGAUAUGGUUGUCCUUCGGGGCGGUACACAGGUGGUGCAUGGCUGUCGUCAGCUCCGUGUCGUGAGAUGUUGGGUUAAGUCCCGCAACGAGCGCAACCCUCGUCCUAUGUUGCCAGCACGUAAUGGUGGGGACUCGUAGGAGACUGCCGGGGUCAACUCGGAGGAAGGUGGGGACGACGUCAAGUCAUCAUGCCCCCUUAUAUCCAGGGCUGCAAACAUGCUACAAUGGCCGGUACAAAGGGCAGCGAAACCGCGAGGUCAAGCGAAUCCCACAAAGCCGGUCUCAGUUCGGAUUGGAGUCUGCAACUCGACUCCAUGAAGCUGGAGUCGCUAGUAAUCCCGGAU
This 433-nucleotide ribosomal RNA is filed under the name uncultured bacterium. RNAcentral's name for it is "bacterial SSU rRNA". It matches the Rfam family "Bacterial small subunit ribosomal RNA", at positions 917 to 1349 of the family's 1533-position model. The record is from RNAcentral.